Molecule: ribosomal RNA, 180 nt
Filed under: uncultured Glomeromycotina
Lineage: Eukaryota; Fungi; Glomeromycota
Description: partial small subunit ribosomal RNA
Source: RNAcentral
GGUCUGGCCGGGCGGUCCGCCGUUUCGGUGUGUACUGCUCUCGGGCCGGUCCUUUCCUUCUGGGGAGCCGUCGGGUCCCUCACGGGGCGCGGCGGGGAGCCAGGACUUUUACCUUGAAAAAAUUAGAGUGUUCAAAGCAGGCGUACGCUUGCAUAGAUUAGCAUGGAAUAAUAGAAUAGG